AAGUUUGUAAGUUUGUACGAGAACCCACCCCUAUAUAUAUAUAUAUAGCGUUAAAUUCUAUGGAGACCAUUAUUUCAUCGGAGACCGCGGAGACCAGUUAUGUUCUGCGUGUAAAACAUUAUAAAAUGUAUUAUCUUAUAAAACAUAUGCUAGCAGACCACUAUUCCAUUAAAUAUCUUGAAACUUAUGUAAGUUUUGCAAGUAAAAUAUUGCAAAACAUAUUGUUCUGCAAAACAUGUUUUGCAAAGUACAAAACAUGUUCUACUCAUAGAACAUACAUAAUUUUAAUGAUUUUCAAUAAAAUAGUGAUCCUUUAUACUACGUUUUGUGAAAGGACACAUUUUUCAAUAUUUUAAUUGAAAAAUAUGCAUGGUCUCCACGGUCUCUGAUGAAAGAGCGGUCCACAUAGAACUUUUGUCAUAUAUAUAUAUGUAUAUAUGUAUGCAUGUAUGUAUGUAUGUAUGUAUGUAUGUAUGUAUGUAUGUAUGUGUGUUGUGUUCACAAUACUCAUCACUUUGAAAUAAACCUUUAAAAAUUCAUUUUCAGUGGUAACUGAGAUUCAAGAGCUUAGUAUUGAAAGAUAUUUCUGACUAGAAUGACACCCAAAAUAGACGUGGAUUCGUGGAAUGUGUAUUAGGAGUUUGUAGUGUUUGAAUUAAGAAUUACACAAGAUGUUAUUUUUUAGGGAAAAUAGAUUUUUUUGCCACCCAACUUAUUAUUUGUUUAGAAACUUACCACUGAACUAUAAUUUUUUUCUUUUUUGUCAUUAAUGUUAGGUUCGAACUUUUCUUUGUCACUAACGUUAGGUUCGGAUUUGAUUAUUAACACUAUGUUAUUUUUUUUAGUAUUAUUAAAAUAUAGUGUUAGUCUGCAACAUAAUGGCGAUAUGAUAUGUGUCUAUAUCUUUAUGUAGUGUCCUAGGUAGUUUAACUUGGCAGACGAGAGUUGGACACGCAUUUUGAGACUCCAAAAAAUUUCAAAAAUUAUUUUAUUUUAUUUUUUUUGAAUAAAAUUUAAUGUUGGGUUUUUUUCCUUAAAAAAACGUUGGAUUUUUUUUUUGUCACUAACGUUAUGUUUUGAUUUGAUUAUUAACAAUAUGUUAUUUUUUUAGCAUUAUAAAAACAUAGUGCUAGUCUGCAAUAUUAUGGUGAUAUGAUAUGUGUCUAUAACAUUAUAUACAGUCAUCUAUAUGUCCCUUAGCUAGUUUAUCUUGAAGUAUGAGAGUUUAACAGGCAUUUUAAGAACCUAAAAAAUUUGGUUUUAUGAAUUAUUUUAAGACUCCACAAAUAUAUAGUAUCACUUGACUUUAUAGUUCUUUACUACUACUUGUCACGUAUUUUAAGGUUCUCACUUUUUAUAAAUAUAGUUCCAUAAGUUAAUUUUGAGAUUUCCUUUCUGAGUAAAAAAAAUCCGUACUCUCGUCAUCUAAGAUAAACUACCUAGGACACAUAUGGAGUACUACAUAUAAAGAUAUAGACACAGAUCACCAUUAUAUUGCAGACUAAUGAAAAAUAUCAUUUAGAUGGUCGGAAAAUUUAAAUAAAGGUCUGAUUUUAAUUAAAUAUAAUAAAAUUUCCCAAAAUGCCCCUUCAAAAGUUAACGGUAAUGGCUGAAGAUAACGGAAAGGGUGCAAAGUGUCUACGGGUUAAAAGUAAGGGGCUGCAUAGUGUUUAUUCCAAAACUAUUAGGUGCAAUGUGCAACAUGCUGAAAUCAAAGGGGUGCCAAAUGCAAUUAACUCUAAAAAGAAUAACAUAGUGUUAAUAAUCAAAUCCGAACCUAACGUUAGUGACAAAAAAAA
RNAcentral lists this long non-coding RNA (1799 nucleotides) under Daucus carota (carrot). RNAcentral describes it as "long non-coding RNA (DCAR_LNC001284)". Lineage: Eukaryota; Viridiplantae; Streptophyta; Magnoliopsida; Apiales; Apiaceae. The record is from RNAcentral.